Molecule: ribosomal RNA, 253 nt
Filed under: uncultured bacterium
Lineage: Bacteria
Description: partial 16S ribosomal RNA
Rfam family: Bacterial small subunit ribosomal RNA
Source: RNAcentral
UACGUAGGGUGCGAGCGUUGCCCGGAUUUAUUGGGCGUAAAGGGCGCGUAGGCGGCUCUGCACGUCCGUUGUGAAAUCGCCCGGCUCAACUGGGCGGGGUCAGCGGAUACGGCGGAGCUUGAGCAAGCUAGGGGGCAAUGGAAUUCCCGGUGUAGUGGUGGAAUGCGCAGAUAUCGGGAAGAACACCCGUGGCGAAGGCGGCACUCUGGGACGGUACUGACGCUGAGACGCGAAAGCGUGGGGAGCGAACAGG